Molecule: ribosomal RNA, 253 nt
Filed under: uncultured bacterium
Lineage: Bacteria
Description: partial 16S ribosomal RNA
Rfam family: Bacterial small subunit ribosomal RNA
Source: RNAcentral
UACGAAGGGGGCUAGCGUUGCUCGGAAUCACUGGGCGUAAAGGGUGCGUAGGCGGGUCUUUAAGUCAGGGGUGAAAGCCCAGAGCUCAACUCUGGAACUGCCUUUGAGACUGAGAGGCUUGAGUACGGGAGAGGUGAGUGGAAUUCCCAGUGUAGAGGUGAAAUUCGUAGAUAUUGGGAAGAACACCGGUGGCGAAGGCGGCUCACUGGCCCGUAACUGACGCUCAUGCACGACAGCGUGGGGAUCAAACAGG